Long non-coding RNA from Helianthus annuus (common sunflower), 443 nucleotides. RefSeq lists it as uncharacterized. The record is from RefSeq and is a predicted model, not a curated record. The transcript has 3 exons. Lineage: Eukaryota; Viridiplantae; Streptophyta; Magnoliopsida; Asterales; Asteraceae.
GGACUUAGACAACCUAUCUCGACACCACUCAACCCACACAACUCACCUCUCACCCUCUCUUUCGAUUAACUUUACACUUGUCGGAGAACCCCAAGGUCGCCGGAAAACCUCGAAGAGCCGAGCGGAGAUCGACGGAAUCUUCUCGACUCGUUUCGUGAGGGUUCGUUGGGGUUAUUAACGAAGAACCAUAGCCUUGCCGGAGAUCGACGGCGACGAUGGAGACAACCGAAGCUCACCGGAGCCGCCCGUAAUACGCGACUGAGUUUCGCUCCUUUACUUUCGGAUAUCCGUUUCGUUCAUUCUGUUGGAUUUUUCUCAAUCUUUACUCGUGCUUCGCUUACAAGAAAUCGCAACGCAACCAAUGUUGAUUUAUCAAGAUAAAAGAAAGCAAGCUAGGAUGGUCCAGAAACUCAUUUUAGAAAUAAACUAUUGUUAUAUUUGGA